RNAcentral lists this ribosomal RNA (472 nucleotides) under uncultured bacterium. Its description in RNAcentral is "bacterial SSU rRNA". It matches the Rfam family "Bacterial small subunit ribosomal RNA", at positions 335 to 801 of the family's 1533-position model. The record is from RNAcentral.
ACUCCUACGGGAGGCAGCAGUGGGAAUAUUGCACAAUGGGCGCAAGCCUGAUGCAGCAAUGCCGCGUGUGUGAAGAAGGCCUGCGGGUUGUAAAGCACUUUUUAUCGGGAAAGAAAAACCAGGGCUAAUACCCUUGGUCUUGACGGUACCCGUUGAAUAAGCACCGGCUAACUCCGUGCCAGCAGCCGCGGUAAUACGGAGGGUGCAAGCGUUAAUCGGAAUUACUGGGCGUAAAGCGAGUGUAGGCGGCGACGUAAGUCGGAUGUGAAAGCCCCGGGCUCAACCUGGGAAUGGCAUUCGAUACUGCGUGGCUCGAGUCUGAUAGAGGGAUGUGGAAUUCCGGGUGUAGCGGUGAAAUGCGUAGAUAUCCGGAGGAACACCAGUGGCGAAGGCGGCAUCCUGGAUCAAGACUGACGCUGAGGCUCGAAAGCGUGGGGAGCAAACAGGAUUAGAUAACCUGGUAGGCUCUGCU